Molecule: ribosomal RNA, 533 nt
Filed under: uncultured Bifidobacterium sp.
Lineage: Bacteria; Bacillati; Actinomycetota; Actinomycetes; Bifidobacteriales; Bifidobacteriaceae
Description: bacterial SSU rRNA
Rfam family: Bacterial small subunit ribosomal RNA
Source: RNAcentral
UGGGGAAUAUUGCACAAUGGGCGCAAGCCUGAUGCAGCGACGCCGCGUGAGGGAUGGAGGCCUUCGGGUUGUAAACCUCUUUUGUUUGGGAGCAUGCCUUCGGGUGAGUGUACCUUUCGAAUAAGCGCCGGCUAACUACGUGCCAGCAGCCGCGGUAAUACGUAGGGCGCAAGCGUUAUCCGGAUUUAUUGGGCGUAAAGGGCUCGUAGGCGGCUCGUCGCGUCCGGUGUGAAAGUCCAUCGCUUAACGGUCGAUCUGCGCCGGGUACGGGCGGGCUGGAGUGCGGUAGGGGAGACUGGAAUUCCCGGUGUAACGGUGGAAUGUGUAGAUAUCGGGAAGAACACCGAUGGCGAAGGCAGGUAUCUGGGCCGUCACUGACGCUGAGGAGCGAAAGCGUGGGGAGCGAACAGGAUUAGAUACCCUGGUAGUCCACGCCGUAAACGGUGGACGCUGGAUGUGGGGCACGUUCCACGUGUUCCGUGUCGGAGCUAACGCGUUAAGCGUCCCGCCUGGGGAGUACGGCCGCAAGGCUA